UCACUGCGUGUUGAAUACGGACUCGACCCUCUUUCCAAGUUUCAUCCUGUGCACAUUACAGGCCCAUAGAAAACCGUUUCCGUUGAGUUUUUCUGUGGUGUCCCCCUUCCCCGCUGAUUCAAGGCCUACUGUGAAGGGGAUGUUCCCAUAGGAGGGGAUCAAAGGGAAUUCAGACCUGUUCUUCAGGAAGGUUAUCUUAGCACCUGUGUGAAGAAUGUAUUGAAGAGGGGAGAGACAAAUCAGGGAGUGACUGUUAAAAUAAUUUAGGUCUCUGAGAUGAUUUCAGUGAAGCCCAGACAAACCAUCACCCAGCCUAGUGGAGAGGAGUUUCUAUGAAGAUGACUUCAGUGCCCCAGGACUUCAUUAUGGAUAACUUAUCUGUUAAAAGAGGCACUUUAGAAAUGCUAGUAAAACUGAAUUGAAAUAAAUGUUAGACAGUGAUUUAGGGUUGCUUACUGUUUAUAAAUGUGACCUGCAAAUGAAAGACCCAGCAGCUGAAUGUGAAUGUGAUAUCUGUAAGAGCUCCAAACUUCACACCUAUGUGAACCAAGUCUCACACCAGCCUUUUGCAGACCACACAUGUUCCAACCAACAGAAAAAGCAAUAUUUAUGUAUGUGGGUGAAACAGGGGACAUAUGAUUUUUUUAAUUUUGUUUUUUUUAAAUAAAGCAUUAUAUCUUUAAUAAAAUGUUCUUCAAGUACAAAAUUACCUUUAUGGUUGUAUGUAAACCAUUGGUAACCUUCAUAUU
Molecule: long non-coding RNA, 749 nt
Organism: Dromiciops gliroides (monito del monte)
Lineage: Eukaryota; Metazoa; Chordata; Mammalia; Microbiotheria; Microbiotheriidae
Exons: 3
Source: RefSeq, a predicted model, not a curated record